Molecule: ribosomal RNA, 490 nt
Filed under: uncultured Alphaproteobacteria bacterium
Lineage: Bacteria; Pseudomonadati; Pseudomonadota; Alphaproteobacteria
Description: bacterial SSU rRNA
Rfam family: Bacterial small subunit ribosomal RNA
Source: RNAcentral
GCCUUUUGGUUUGGAAUAACACGGGGAAACUUGUGCUAAUACCGGAUAAGCCUUUACAGGGAAAGUUUUAACGCCAAAAGAUGAGCCCAUACUUGAUUAGCUAGUUGGUAAGGUAAUGGCUUACCAAGGCUACGAUCAAUAGCUGAUCUGAGAGGAUGAUCGGCCACAUUGGGACUGAGACACGGCCCAAACUCCUACGGGAGGCAGCAGUGGGGAAUCUUGCACAAUGGGGGAAACCUUGAUGCAGCGAUGCCGCGUGAGUGAAGAAGGCCUUUGGGUUGUAAAGCUCUUUCGUCGGGGAAGAAAAUGACUGUACCCGAAUAAGAAGGUCCGGCUAACUUCGUGCCAGCAGCCGCGGUAAUACGAAGGGACCUAGCGUAGUUCGGAAUUACUGGGCUUAAAGAGCUCGUAGGUGGUUAAGAAAGUUGGUGGUGAAAUCCCAAGGCUUAACCUUGGAACUGCCACCAAAACUUUUUGACUAGAGUAUGAU